This 755-nucleotide ribosomal RNA is filed under the name uncultured Verrucomicrobiota bacterium. RNAcentral's name for it is "bacterial SSU rRNA". It matches the Rfam family "Bacterial small subunit ribosomal RNA", at positions 324 to 1071 of the family's 1533-position model. Lineage: Bacteria; Pseudomonadati; Verrucomicrobiota. The record is from RNAcentral.
GCAUCGUAUCCAGCACUACGGGAUCGACCAGUUUAGAAAUUCACAAUUUGCGCAAGCCUGAUGGAGCGACGCCGCGUGGGGGAUGAAUGGCUUCGGCUUCCGUAAACCCCUGUCAUUCGCGAUCAAACCUUGCUUUUAAAAGAUGGUGAGCUGAUAGUAGCGGAAGAGGAAGGGACGGCUAACUCUGUGCCAGCAGCCCCGGUAAUACAGAGGUCCCAAGCGUUUUCGGAUUCACUGGGCGUAAAGGGGGCGUAGGUGGUGAGGUAAGUCGGAGUGAAAGCUCGGAGCUCAACUCCGAAAUGGCAUUGGAAACUACCUUGCUCGAGGGUUGGAUAGGGGGACUGGAAACUUGGUGUAGCAGUGAAAUGCGUAGAUAUCAAGUGGAACACCAGUGGCGAAGGCGAGUCCCUGGACAACUCCUGACACUGAGGCACGAAAGCUAGGGGAGCAAACAGGAUUAGAUACCCUGGUAGUCCUAGCCCGUAAACGGUGCACGUUUGCGGUAAAAGGAAUCGACCCCUUUUGUGGCGUAGCCAACCCGUUAAACGUGCCGCCUGGGAAGUACGGUCCAAGAUUAAAACUCAAAGAAAUUGACGGGGGCCUGCACAAGCGGUGGAGUAUGUGGCUCAAUUCGAUGCAACGCGAAGAACCUUACCUGGCCUUGACAUGCAAGUAGUAGAAGGGUGAAAGCCUGACGAGGUAGCAAUACCAGCUUGCACAGGUGCUGCAUGGCUGUCGUCAGCUCGUGUCGUCAA